Molecule: long non-coding RNA, 739 nt
Organism: Cucurbita maxima (winter squash)
Lineage: Eukaryota; Viridiplantae; Streptophyta; Magnoliopsida; Cucurbitales; Cucurbitaceae
Exons: 5
Source: RefSeq, a predicted model, not a curated record
AACGGGUUCAACAGUCUGAAACCCUGGGCAGGACAAGACGAUCUGCUUCUGAGGACAAUCGCAGUUGUUAAUCACUUGCACGUUCCAUUCAGCUUCCAGCACCGAACCCUGCAACAAAAUCCACCAACUCAAACCCAGAAAGGGGAGAGAAAGAAAGCUCUAAAGGAAUAGGAUGAGGAUUGCUGCAAUCAUGGCGGAGAGGUUGAUCAUAGCGGAAGGGAGUGCUUUUGAGAAAGUUUGAGAAGUGGAAGGAGAAGUUCAAGAAGAGGCAAUUUGAGAGGUAAAAGGCUUGAAGGAAAGACAUUGGCUGACCAUUGAUGGAGGCAGCCAUUUCUUUUUCAAUUUGAGAGUGUUGUCAAGGAACGAAUUCAAGGAAAAGCUGCACACUUCGUAAUUAAGGAACGUCCAUUAAGUAGGGAUGUGUAGGGCGGCACAACCCUCAACCAAGGGAGUGAUCACGUUCAGUAUGUUCUCCCUUAUUUCCAACAUGCUAUGGUCAUUCGGGGCGAGGUCACUACUUGGCCCUAAGACGUUCGACGUUUUCCAUUUAAGGGAGAGGGAGUCUUGGAGCUAUGAGUUGAAUCCUUUCCUUUCUUUUUUCUUUUUUCUUUUUUACUAAACAAAGAUAUUUAGAUUUUCUAUUGAAAUUGUUAAAUGAAAUAUUACAAUAAGAUGUGUAUUGUAUUGUCAAUUUAAAAUAGUUCAACUAGUCUAUAUAUAGAUUUUGGAAUUUGUUGUA